Molecule: ribosomal RNA, 468 nt
Filed under: uncultured bacterium
Lineage: Bacteria
Description: partial 16S ribosomal RNA
Rfam family: Bacterial small subunit ribosomal RNA
Source: RNAcentral
GACGAACGCUGGCGGCGUGCUUAACACAUGCAAGUCGAACGGAAAGGCCCUGCUUUUGUGGGGUGCUCGAGUGGCGAACGGGUGAGUAACACGUGAGUAACCUGCCCUUGACUUUGGGAUAACUUUAGGAAACUGGGGCUAAUACCGGAUAGGAGCUCCUGCUGCAUGGUGGGGGUUGGAAAGUUUCGGCGGUUGGGGAUGGACUCGCGGCUUAUCAGCUGGUUGGUGGGGUAGUGGCUUACCAAGGCUUUGACGGGUAGCCGGCCUGAGAGGGUUACCGGCCACAUGGGGACUGAGAUACGGCCCAGACUCCUACGGGAGGCAGCAGUGGAGAAUAUUGCACAAUGGGGGGAAGCCUGAGGCAGCAACGCCGCGUGCGGGAUGACGGCCUUCGGGUUGUAAACCGCUUUCGCCUGUGACGAAGCGUGAGUGACGGUAAUGAGUAAAGAAGCACCGGCUAACUACGUG